GAGAGUUUCAUAUGUGAUGUUAUCUCAUCACUAUCAGAUUUAUUUUCAGUGAAUUAAAAGAAUUAAAGAGAAAUUAAGUAAUUAGUAUAUGCACCUGCAAUCCUUUUAAUGCUUUUAAAAGUGUUGUAAGUCAGAAGCAAUGGUGUAACAACACUCGACUGGUAAUUUGAAGGGGAAAAAGGUCUAAAAACGGAUCCAUACUGUAUCGUAAACUGCCCAUACUCGACGAUCCCAGUUAGUCAGUCCAGAGUGAAGCAAACAUUUUAUUACAUGAUGUACUCCAACAUAUGUAUGCAACAGUUCAUCUGAACCCAAUGAUCUCUCAUUCCGUUUACAUCUCAAUUAGUUUUACCCAAUUGUUCACAUGUGAGAUGUCUUACCGAGCAGAGAUCCCAAAUUCUGGGCAUCUGGGAUUGUGUAAUGAGGUAAGAGCUUUUUGGAAACACUACCUUGAUUUGUCAACAAUAUUCUGCCAAUGUUUCCAUUUUCCCUUAAAUCGCUUUUCUCAUCUUGUGUAAGAGGAGGUAGGAUUAAUUAUGCUAGUGAGUGGAAUAGGUACACCUAUUCUCGACAGUAUAUAUACUGGCUAUACACGGAGGACGUGGACAAACCAUUCUUCAGCUGCACAGCAAGUAUUCUACUGCACUGUCAAGUAUCCAUCUAAAAACUUCUCUGCAAGAUGAAUUUUAUUUCGAUCACUUCCCUGUUGGUUGUUGCUGCGUUGAUGAUUUCGGUCGAUGCCCAGUGGAACAACGGCGACGGUGGCUCCAGAUGGCUGCCCAACUGCGACUUCACCGGCGGAGACAUUGGCAGCGUGCGAGUGCCCGGAUCGCAGUGCGCAAGGGCUUGCAUCAAUCGACCUAGAUGCAAUCAUUUCACUUAUAUAGCCGGAGUGUGUUUGCUGAAAAGUCAUCCAUUAUCCAAAGCACGAUCCGGGUGUCGCGCAUGCAAUUUUUGCGGAUUCCUUCCAUUCCGAACCAUCGGAUAAAGUUUUCUGGUUUCAGAUUUUGCACUUUUCCAGAUUUUGCACUUUUCCAGAUUUUGCACUUUUCCAGAUUUCUAUCUAUCGUUUCGUAUUUAGUUUAUAUACCUUUAUAAGUAGCAUUAUUAUGUAGAUGUAGACGAAAUAAUUUAUCAAAUACAACAUAUUAGUACACGC
RNAcentral lists this long non-coding RNA (1159 nucleotides) under Daphnia pulex (common water flea). RNAcentral's name for it is "uncharacterized LOC124201904, transcript variant X5". The record is from RNAcentral. Lineage: Eukaryota; Metazoa; Arthropoda; Branchiopoda; Diplostraca; Daphniidae.